UUUAUUUUACAGAUUUUCACCAGAUGUAAUAAUGUAAUAACCUUAUAAAUGUGGAUAUAAUUUCCAGCAUACAUGUAUACAUAUACAUAUAUAUUCUUUUUUCUUUUUUUUUUACAGUCCACACUUUCUCUUCUUACCAAACCACGCUCUGACUGUUUUAUAUCACACACCUGCUCUGUCCAUCUUCAAGAGGAUGUCUCCACUCCACGCCCUCACCUCACCUUACCACCUCACUCCCUUGGUGCCCACGGCCUCACCUCACCGUACCACUCCACUCCCUUGGGCCCCAACUUUCUAGAGGGUUAGGUGCAUCUUCCCUGAAUUCAGUCUAGGCCCAGCAUUCCUCUGGUAUACAUAUGUUUGCUGCCUUAUAUCACAUGGGCUAUGCUCCCUGGUUAGUGGCUAAGUGUCUGAGAGUUCCAGGGGGUCCAGAUUAGUUGAGACUGCUGGUCUUCCUAUAUGGUCACCCUCCUCCUCAGCUUCUUGCAGCCCUACCUCCACCAUGGGAGUCACCAGCUUCUGUCCAUAGGUUGGGUAUAAAUAUCUGCAUCUGACUCUUUCAACUGCUUGUUGGGUCUUUGGUUCGGCAGUCAUGAUAGGGCCCUGUAGUGGCUAUUCCUGGUUGGCAACUUUACUGUAUCUGAAAUGAACUAAAAUCCAGAAUUGGGAGGUCUACCUGUGGUCCUGAUGUUGAAGGUAGGAGAUACAAGUUUCUGACCUGGAGCUUUGCAUGGACAUUUUGAGGCAUAGUGGCUAUGGAUCCCAGGAGACUAAGACAAGGAGAUCUCUGAGUUCAAGGUUAUCUGGGACAGAACAAAUAGCUUAUCUAGACAUGUUGGCACACACCUUUAAUCUAGGCCACACCUGCUCUAGACCUACAUAAGGACAUUGGAAGAAGGAGGAUUCUCUCUUCUUUGCCUGCUUGCCUUGUGGGAUCCAUUCACAGCUGCUGCUGACCAUUGUUGGGGAGCUGGACUACUGACUGGAUGUUUUCCUGAAUGUUUCUGUGUGAAUUACCAGAGGAGUCCAGAAGAAGGCCAGAGGAGUGUGGGAAUACAGCUACAACAAAUGUUUAGAUAACAUGUGGUUUAUGAGGAUGGAACCUGUGUCCGCCAUAACAAGGCUCAUUGUUCUUAAGUCUCAGUAUAUUUCUAGUCACUUUUUAAAAUAAUAUUGAUUUUUAAAAUAAUAAUCAAAAUAAUAACAUUUUGAUUAAAACAUAUUAGGUUAAUUUCCCCUUAUUAUUCUCUAAAUCCCUUCAAAAAGUUUCCCAGCUCACUUGGUCAUUGUUAAGUAUGUGCAGUUAAUUACGCACAAAUGUAAAAAUAAAGUUUUCGUUGGACAUUC
Molecule: long non-coding RNA, 1347 nt
Organism: Apodemus sylvaticus (European woodmouse)
Lineage: Eukaryota; Metazoa; Chordata; Mammalia; Rodentia; Muridae
Exons: 2
Source: RefSeq, a predicted model, not a curated record